RNAcentral lists this ribosomal RNA (427 nucleotides) under uncultured Burkholderiaceae bacterium. RNAcentral describes it as "partial 16S ribosomal RNA". It matches the Rfam family "Bacterial small subunit ribosomal RNA", at positions 355 to 774 of the family's 1533-position model. The record is from RNAcentral. Lineage: Bacteria; Pseudomonadati; Pseudomonadota; Betaproteobacteria; Burkholderiales; Burkholderiaceae. RNAcentral also lists the same sequence under 2 other names.
UGGGGAAUUUUGGACAAUGGGCGCAAGCCUGAUCCAGCAAUGCCGCGUGUGUGAAGAAGGCCUUCGGGUUGUAAAGCACUUUUGUCCGGAAAGAAAACCUCGUGGUUAAUACCCGUGGGGGAUGACGGUACCGGAAGAAUAAGCACCGGCUAACUACGUGCCAGCAGCCGCGGUAAUACGUAGGGUGCAAGCGUUAAUCGGAAUUACUGGGCGUAAAGCGUGCGCAGGCGGUUCGCUAAGACAGAUGUGAAAUCCCCGGGCUUAACCUGGGAACUGCAUUUGUGACUGGCGGGCUAGAGUAUGGCAGAGGGGGGUAGAAUUCCACGUGUAGCAGUGAAAUGCGUAGAGAUGUGGAGGAAUACCGAUGGCGAAGGCAGCCCCCUGGGCCAAUACUGACGCUCAUGCACGAAAGCGUGGGGAGCAAACA